Non-coding RNA from Misgurnus anguillicaudatus (oriental weatherfish), 824 nucleotides. The record is from RefSeq and is a predicted model, not a curated record. Lineage: Eukaryota; Metazoa; Chordata; Actinopteri; Cypriniformes; Cobitidae.
ACACUCUUGUAAUCACUAUUGACUUUGCUUACAUGAUGGAAUAUCUUACAUCUCACAAGUUAUUUUGGCAAAAACAAUGUGUAACCAAAUUCAAGUUUAUUUUGGCUAGAAGUGGGUUAUUCACUGCCAGACUAUAUUAGGUCUAAAGUAAAACUUGACUGUAAAAUGACAAUUAUUGCUUGCUGGGCAGUCACAGCUCUGUCUGUUGUACUGUCAUUAAAACAUACACUGAAAAAAAUCAUAUUUGGCUUAAUUUACUUGGUUUUUUUUUUAAACAAAACUUGAUAAUGAAUUUUGUUGUGUAAAUAAUGUGUGCAUAAGCAUUUUUUACAAGAGGACCUCUGCUUUAUAUCUAUUAUUGUUUUAAAUCUAUUGUUUUGGACAUAGCCAUCUCAGCAACAAUCUAACUAAACAACAAUGCUGCUUAGCGAUAAAAAAUCUUGUGUUUCUCUCUCUCCCUUUCACAUGCAUGUUUUUUCCCUUUAUAUGUGUUUGUCUCCUUGAUUUUUUUCCCAGUACUUGUUUUUCAUUUCUAAGUAUUUGUGCUUUUUCCAUCUUUGGCAGACAUCUGUGUUGCCAUAGGACCGCAGCCAGACACAAGACGAAAUUAUAGAAGAAGAGCAACUCAGCGGCUGUGACUGGCCUGGUGCCCAUUUAACAAGUUGGCUUUUGCCCCCUGGAGUGUGGUACAUGGCUCCCAAAUGACCCCUGUCAUGUGGACUCCAGUCUCUGUGCCAAACCUGUGUCAGUGCUACUCGCUGUGGCAUAAGAGCUGAAAGAAAUGACCACCAAUCGCAUGCGUCCAGUAAUCCAAAACAUAAAGG